Non-coding RNA from Triticum aestivum (bread wheat), 124 nucleotides. NCBI's taxonomy places the organism in Eukaryota, Viridiplantae, Streptophyta, Magnoliopsida, Poales, Poaceae. The record is from Rfam.
UAGAUACUUUCUCCGUCCGAAAAUACUUGUCCUUGAAAUGGUUGUAUCUAUACUUAUUUUAGUUAUAGAUACAUCCAUUUUAUUCAUUUCGAGGACAAGUAUUUCCGGACGGAGGGAGUAGUGA